Molecule: long non-coding RNA, 1610 nt
Organism: Mya arenaria
Lineage: Eukaryota; Metazoa; Mollusca; Bivalvia; Myida; Myidae
Exons: 3
Source: RefSeq, a predicted model, not a curated record
ACAUGUGACAGCCGCCAUUUUGGAUUCAAAAUGUAAACAACAGACGAUUGAAACAGAUUUUAUUUUUUUGUUUUUUGAAAGAUGAAUGAUUGCUUUAAAUGGAGAGCCGAUGCUGUCUUGCAGCGUGGUUGGUGAUGAGGCCCAGGUAUAGUACGAUGUCGUUGAAGAGGGCUCCAACCGGAAGCGGCAGAAGCUCGUAUCAUCGGAUGGGUUUUCAUAAUAUGUCAAGAGAGAGACCGACUCUGGACAGCAGACAGUGGAGAUGCAUCAUCAGGCGAAAGGGCAUGUCUUCCUGUACUCGUCUGUGAAUCAUCGGGUGAUGUUUUCUCAUAGGGCGCUAAGGACCUAGCGGGUCGCUAUAAAACGCAGCGAUUUACGCAGGCUGUAAUAUGCAGGCUGCGUUUUUAGGGUAUAAAACGCAGCAACGCAGCCAAUAUAUGUAUAGAGGAAAAACGCAGCUUUUAAAAAAAAUCAUUCAUAGUGCUACAAAAGGAAGGAAUAAAUUGAUUUUCUUGAUAUAACAUAUUAAAAAACGUAUUGGUAUUAUUGACCAGAUACAAAAGUGUGUAUUUCGAAUAAGGUAAGUUUAAUUUCGGAAAUAAAAGAUGCUAAUGGUUCCUCAAAGAAGUGUUUUAUCAUUUUGUUGUUUGUUUAAUUUGUUAUAAUUUGCAUGUAUGCGUGUUUGCGUUUCAAAUAACUUAUAAUUUCACAUUAAAAGUGUAGUUAAUUACUGUUUAUUCAUCAUGUCGGUAACUUGAAAGACUUUUAAGGCUUUGAAAAAGUGCGUCAAUGAGAAAAGGAUGUGCUGUGAAAAUUAUAUUUUGACAACUUCUUUUGUAAUUUAAAUAAUUUUCGUUACUCAACAAAUCAAGACUGGAAUGAUUGGUAAUGUUUCAGUAAAGUUUUAGUCAUUCUGUUCUUCACUUUUUUACAAACGGACAUAACUACCGCAUAUUAAAUUUGUGUUUACCCCCCCCCCCCCCAAAAAAAAAAAAAAAAUCAAAAAAAUCAAAGACUUCAUGGACCUGGAUAUUGUGUUUGACUUGAUACAAUCGGUGUCGGUAAAUAGUUUAUAAUCACUUAUAUUCAUGUUGUUGUUUUUCGUUUAAGAAGUUUUUUAGUAUUAGGCCUUAAACAGAAUACGAGCUAUUAAUGAUGACUUUUAACAUGUUAUUCUCGAAUAUGAUGCAAUUAAAAUAUUACAUACAAUUGCACAAAACUGGACACAGAAAUAUUAUUAUUUGAAAUGUGUAUAACCAACGUUGAUACUCAGAUAUCUUCGUUUUUCUCAUGAUCUUAAAUAAUGUCCGACUGUAUGUAAUAUUCAAUUAAAAAUUACACCAUUUAAUAUUAAUUCAUUCUCACAUGUUUUGUGUUUGUAUAUUUGUAAUUAUGACGAUAAGCUAAUAAAUAUUCUGUUCUGUUCUGUUCAUAAGAGUCUUACACAAAUCCUGUUUAAUAUAACCUGACUAUUGUCCGCUUGACUUAAUUAGACGUAAUCAUGAACCAACAGAAGCUGUCCGUGUCAAUAAACGUGCUAAUCCGUUUGUCAUGUACUUGACCAGGGACAGGUGCUAGUAUGUGACACGCGUCCGUAUAAUAACAGUCAU